This 338-nucleotide ribosomal RNA is filed under the name Digitipes barnabasi. RNAcentral's name for it is "eukaryotic LSU rRNA". It matches the Rfam family "Eukaryotic large subunit ribosomal RNA", at positions 700 to 962 of the family's 3401-position model. The record is from RNAcentral. Lineage: Eukaryota; Metazoa; Arthropoda; Chilopoda; Scolopendromorpha; Scolopendridae.
AUCCACGAAACCCUAAGGCGCAAUGAAAGUGAAGGUCAGGCACAGCACUGACUGAGGCAGGAUCCGUCCGGGUGAGCGAAGCUCUUCUUCCUUUCGCGGGUUCGUCCCGCGGGGGAGCUCGGCGGCGCACUGCCAGCCCAUCUCGGCCGCUUCCUGUCGGCGAGGUGGAGCUAGAGCGCACACGUUGGGACCCGAAAGAUGGUGAACUAUGCUCGGGCAGGACGAAGCCAGAGGAAACUCUGGUGGAGGUCCGUAGCGAUUCUGACGUGCAAAUCGAUCGUCGGACCCGAGUAUAGGGGCGAAAGACUAAUCGAACCGUCUAGUAGCUGGUUCCUUCC